CCUGUGUUACCGAGUUUUGUGCCAAUGCCGGGGACUGAACCCAGGACCACUGUACUGAGACACGUCUCCAGCCUUUUUCUACUCUAAUUUUGAGACAAGUUCUCACUAAAUCACUGACUUGCUCAGGCUGGCUUCAAAUGUGUGAUCCUCCUGCCUCAGCCUCCCAGUGUACUGGGACUGCGGGCUUGCCACCACCACACUAGGCUUGCAUGUGUUUUCACAAGUGAUUCAUAUGUGGCGGCAGCCUGCGGAGCAGCGUGGACUGCAUUCUACCCUCAAGGGCUGCUCACUCGCCGCUUUGCUGCAUAGAUCAAGCCGCUCCUUCCCGCUCCGCAAACAGGACCCUCAGCACCCUCCUUCCCUGGGCUUCCCCUGGGCUGAACAGGAAUGGACUGGGGAUCAGCAGGAACAGCUCUCUCCAAGAAUACCGUGGACACGCGGAGGAAAACAAGCCAAGAAAAAUGUCACUGCUUCCCUGAACAUCUAAAUACUCAACGCAUCCUUCUCAAGAAAAGAUCCAGCCUCGAAUUACAGCUCUUUCCUUGUUAGCACUGCACCUCCUGGGCAGCAAUCGCACCCAUUUUUAAGGAAUGUGGAAUAAAAGAGUAAAACAACAA
Molecule: long non-coding RNA, 617 nt
Filed under: Fukomys damarensis (Damara mole-rat)
Lineage: Eukaryota; Metazoa; Chordata; Mammalia; Rodentia; Bathyergidae
Description: lncRNA (ENSFDAG00000027458.1)
Source: RNAcentral